Molecule: ribosomal RNA, 1616 nt
Filed under: human gut metagenome
Description: bacterial LSU rRNA
Rfam family: Bacterial large subunit ribosomal RNA
Source: RNAcentral
UAAGAAGAGAGAUGCCCGAAUGAGUAGCGAGAUGAGUGGAUNNNCUCCAGNCNGAUAUCCAAGGUUUCCAGAGUAAAGCUGAUCUGCUCUGGUAAAGUCGGGNCCUAAGUAAAGGCUGAGAAGCGUAGCCGAUGGACAACAGGUUGAGAUUCCUGUACCGCGUAUCAUCAGAACUGUGGGGACACAGAAGGACAGCACAGCCCGGGAGUGGAAAGACCGGGGCAAGCAGGGUAGGAGUCAAGCUGGCAAAUCCGCUUGACGAUCCGAAGCUGUGAUGCGGAGCGAAUUUAAGUAGUGAAGUGUGUGAUUCCGGCUGUCAAGAAAAGCCGCUAUCGUGUGAUACGUGCCCGUACCGUAAACCGACACAGGUAGAUGAGGAGAGAAUCCUAAGGCCGGCGGGAGAAGCAUUGUUAAGGAACUCGGCAAAAUGACCCUGUAACUUCGGGAGAAAGGGUGCCUGGGAAACCAGGCCGCAGAGAAUAGGCUCAAGCAACUGUUUAGCAAAAACACAGGUCUAUGCAAAACCGUAAGGUGAGGUAUAUGGGCUGACGCCUGCCCGGUGCUGGAAGGUUAAGAGGAGGGGUUAGCGCAAGCGAAGCUCUGAAUUGAAGCCCCAGUAAACGGCGGCCGUAACUAUAACGGUCCUAAGGUAGCGAAAUUCCUUGUCGGGUAAGUUCCGACCCGCACGAAAGGCGUAAUGAUUUGAGCGCUGUCUCGACAAUGCACCCGGUGAAAUUGAAAUACCAGUGAAGAUGCUGGUUACCCGCGCCAGGACGGAAAGACCCCAUGGAGCUUUACUCCAGCUUGAUACUGGGAUUCGGUACUGCAUGUACAGGAUAGGUGGGAGACUGAGAAACUUGGACGCCAGUCUGAGAUGAGUCGCUGUUGGGAUACCACCCCUGCGGUAUUGGAUUUCUAACCUGCAGCCGUGAACCGGCUGGGGGACAAUGUCAGGCGGGGAGUUUGACUGGGGCGGUCGCCUCCGAAAGGGUAUCGGAGGCGCUCAAAGGUUCCCUCAUAAUGGUUGGAAACCAUUAGAAGAGUGCAAAGGCAUAAGGGAGCUUGACUGCGACACCGACGGGUGGAGCAGGUAGGAAACUAGGACUUAGUGAUCCGGUGGUAUGAAAGUGGGAUUGCCAUCGCUCAACGGAUAAAAGCUACCCUGGGGAUAACAGGCUUAUCACUCCCAAGAGUUCACAUCGACGGAGUGGUUUGGCACCUCGAUGUCGGCUCAUCGCAUCCUGGGGCUGUAGCAGGUCCCAAGGGUUGGGCUGUUCGCCCAUUAAAGCGGUACGCGAGCUGGGUUCAGAACGUCGUGAGACAGUUCGGUCCCUAUCCGGCGUGGGCGUAGGAUAUUUGAGAGGAGCUGUCCUUAGUACGAGAGGACCGGGAUGGACGGGCCGCUGGUGUACCUGUUGGAGUGCCAACUCCAUGGCAGGGUAGCCAAGCCCGGACGGGAUAAACGCUGAAGGCAUCUAAGCGUGAAGCCCCCCUCAAGAUGAGAUAUCCCAUACGCAGGUAGUAAGACCCCUUGAAGACGACAAGGUAGAUAGGUCAGAGGUGGAAGUGUGGUGACACAUGGAGCUGACUGAUACUAAUCGGUCGAGGGCUUGACC